GACAGAGGAUGCAGGCGUUAUCCGGAAUGAUUGGGCGUAAAGCGUCUGUAGGUGGCUUUUCAAGUCCGCCGUCAAAUCCCAGGGCUCAACCCUGGACAGGCGGUGGAAACUACCAAGCUGGAGUACGGUAGGGGCAGAGGGAAUUUCCGGUGGAGCGGUGAAAUGCGUAGAUAUCGGAAGGAACACCAGUGGCGAAAGCGGCUUCCUGGUCCAGCACCGACGUUCAGGCACGAAAGCGUGGGGAGCAAACAGG
RNAcentral lists this ribosomal RNA (253 nucleotides) under uncultured bacterium. RNAcentral's name for it is "partial 16S ribosomal RNA". It matches the Rfam family "Bacterial small subunit ribosomal RNA", at positions 524 to 776 of the family's 1533-position model. The record is from RNAcentral.